This 559-nucleotide unclassified non-coding RNA is filed under the name Limosilactobacillus fermentum. RNAcentral describes it as "Lactobacillus fermentum partial contains 16S ribosomal RNA, 16S-23S ribosomal RNA intergenic spacer, and 23S ribosomal RNA". The stretch from base 1 to 171 matches the Rfam family "Bacterial small subunit ribosomal RNA", at positions 1360 to 1533 of the family's 1533-position model. Lineage: Bacteria; Bacillati; Bacillota; Bacilli; Lactobacillales; Lactobacillaceae. The record is from RNAcentral.
UUAGUAGUACGUUCGAGCCUGGACCACGCCCGUCACACCAUGAGAGUUUGUAAACCCGAAGUCGGUGGGGUAACCUUUUACGAGCCAGCCGCGUAUGGUGGGACAGAUGAUUAUGGGUGAAGUCGUAACAAGGUAGCAGUAGGAGAACCUGCGGACUGGAUCACCUCUCUUUCUAAGGAAUUAAUCGGAAACCUGCACAUUGUCGAAACAGUGUUCAGUUUUGAGGGGGUUACCUCUCAGCUUGUACUUUGAAAACUAAAUGAUAUCCCUUUCUAAUAAAAUCAAGAGAUCCGACAAACACGCGCGGUUAUUUGAUGUUUUCACCAAAAAAGAAGGCGAUCCUCCCCUAGUUUGACUGACGGCUACCUGGUAAGGUCUACUCAUAAAGGUCGCUCGCACAUUGCCUGGUUGCUCCCAACAGAUUAACCCCGGCACUUUCGCGGAUAUCAUUCUCGAAGGGGUAACCACCCUUUGUUCCGAAGAUUCCGAAAGGGGUUACCCCAGUCUUCUUGAUCGCCGAUUCACAAGCAAUUCAGGGUUUNGGUUUCCGGGGUUUUAA